GACGAACGCUGGCGGCGUGCUUAACACAUGCAAGUCGAACGGAAAGGCCCUGCUUUUGUGGGGUGCUCGAGUGGCGAACGGGUGAGUACCCCGUGGUUAACCUCCCCUUACCUUUGGAAUACCUUCAGAAACCUGGGCCAAUUCCCGGAUGGAGCCUCCUGCUCCUUGUUGGGGGUUGGAAAGUUUCGGCGGUUGGGGAUGGACUCGCGGCUUAUCAGCUUGUUGGUGGGGUGGUGGCUUACCAAGGCUUUGACGGGUAGCCGGCCUGAGAGGGUGACCGGCCACAUUGGGACUGAGAUACGGCCCAGACUCCUACGGGAGGCAGCAGUGGGGAAUAUUGCGCAAUGGGCGGAAGCCUGAUGCAGCAACGCCGCGUGCGGGAUGACGGCCUUCGGGUUGUAAACCGCUUUCGCCUGUGACGAAGCGUGAGUGACGGUAAUGGGUAAAGAAGCACCGGCUAACUACGUG
This 468-nucleotide ribosomal RNA is filed under the name uncultured bacterium. RNAcentral describes it as "partial 16S ribosomal RNA". It matches the Rfam family "Bacterial small subunit ribosomal RNA", at positions 28 to 507 of the family's 1533-position model. The record is from RNAcentral.